Molecule: ribosomal RNA, 496 nt
Filed under: uncultured bacterium
Lineage: Bacteria
Description: partial 16S ribosomal RNA
Rfam family: Bacterial small subunit ribosomal RNA
Source: RNAcentral
GAUGAACGCUAGCGGCAGGCCUAACACAUGCAAGUCGAGGGGUAUUAGGAGCUUGCUCCUAAGAGACCGGCGCACGGGUGCGUAACGCGUAUGCAAUCUACCUUUUACAGGGGAAUAGCCCAGAGAAAUUUGGAUUAAUGCCCCAUAGUAUAUAUUAUUCGCAUGUUUGAUAUAUUAAAGUUCCAACGGUAAAAGAUGAGCAUGCGUCCCAUUAGUUAGUUGGUAAGGUAACGGCUUACCAAGACGAUGAUGGGUAGGGGUCCUGAGAGGGAGAUCCCCCACACUGGUACUGAGACACGGACCAGACUCCUACGGGAGGCAGCAGUGAGGAAUAUUGGACAAUGGGCGCAAGCCUGAUCCAGCCAUGCCGCGUGCAGGAAGAAGCAUCUAUGGUGUGUAAACUGCUUUUGUACGGGAAGAAACACCCCUUCGUGAAGGGACUCGACGGUACCGUAAGAAUAAGGAUCGGCUAACUCCGUGCCAGCCGCCGCCGUAA